GACGAACGCUGGCGGCGUGCCUAAUACAUGCAAGUUGAGCGCUGAAGGUUGGUGCUUGUACCAACUGGAUUAGCAGCGGACGGGUGAGUAACGCGUGGGUAAUCUGCCUUUGAGCGUGGGACAACAUCGGGAAACGAAUGCUAAUACCGCAUAAAAACUUUAAACACAAGUUUCAAGUUUGAAAGAUGCAAUUGCAUUACUCAAAGAUGAUCCCGCGUUGUAUUAGCUAGUUGGUGAGGUAAAGGCUCACCAAGGCGAUGAUACAUAACCGACCUGAGAGGGUGAUCGGCCCAAUUGGGACUGGGACACGGCCCAAACUCCUUCGGGAGGCAGCAGUAGGGGAUCUUCGGCAAUGGACGAAAGUCUGACCGGGCAACGCCGCGUGAGUGAAGAAGGUUUUCGGAUCGUAAAACUCUGGUGGUAGGGAAGAACGUUGGUGGGAGUGGAAAGCUCAUCAAGUGACGGUAACUACCCAGAAAGCGACGGCUAACUACGUG
Molecule: ribosomal RNA, 497 nt
Filed under: uncultured bacterium
Lineage: Bacteria
Description: partial 16S ribosomal RNA
Rfam family: Bacterial small subunit ribosomal RNA
Source: RNAcentral